Molecule: long non-coding RNA, 499 nt
Filed under: Mus pahari (shrew mouse)
Lineage: Eukaryota; Metazoa; Chordata; Mammalia; Rodentia; Muridae
Description: Pvt1 oncogene (MGP_PahariEiJ_G0004808.1)
Source: RNAcentral
UCUACCUUCUACUCCUUGAGUGCAUGAAGCCAGUAUCUAAGUUCCACUCUCCUUUUUCCCUCUUCUGGCUCCAUCCUGACCCCCCCCCCUUGAGUAUCUUGACUCAACAAGGCUUCCUCACCCUCCUCCAGCUGUGGAGAAAUCAGGAGCAGUGAAUGAUCGGAAUGGACCUUUGAGAUUACAGUGUGGAGCUGACAUUGCCCGUUAAGUCUGGGCAGAUCUGACUUAAUUGAUUAAUUUAGUUGUUGGAGCAGAGACAACCCAGAAGCUGGGAUCAGCCUCCCCCUCUGACAGUGUGCUGAUGAGAAGCGUUGACUUAAGAGAUGCCAAGUCACUCAGCAGAUGUCACACAGAUGACAACUAGCAAAGAUGGAAGGCUUCAUGCUGGAGGCAGUUCUAUAAGACAGCUGAGUUCUCCAGAGCUGGUAGGAGACAGACUUGCUCAGGUGAUAGAUCCGGCCAUGAUAUUGGCCAUAAGAGAAUCUGACACUGCAGAAGU